AUUAUUUGUACAUACAUAUAUAGCGCGUCGUUUAUUUUUAUUUUUUGCUUUGUUUUUCUUUUUAAAUGAGUUUCGGUCGAGUCGAUGAUACUUCUAUUUAGUAAAACACACGAAAAUGGAAGAUUUAUUUUUUUGCUUCGUUUUUUUUUUUGUUAUUGUGUGCGCCUCUGUGUGUUUGUGUGUCUCAAGUGAGUGAGAACGUUCUGGUGGGGGUGAAGUGAUGGGAGGGGAGGCUGUGGGGGAGAGUUGAGAGCGAGCGGGUGUGUGAUGAGCACUUCCGCUUCCGCUGCUAGUGGGGCAAUUAUACUGCUACUAAAACCGUUCGAGCGCAAAUAAAUACCAAGAACAACAAAACACUAACCAUUGAGCAGCGCUGGAAAGAGAGACGGAAAGUGAGAGAGCUUAGGCCGACUAGCCGACUAAUUGUUACCCAGCAACUGCUGAAAAGUCCACUAAAUACGACGCGACCUACCAGAGGUACAAUUUAACAGGGUUUCAAUGCAAACGCUAUAUUCCAGCGGAGUUUCAAUCCAUAUGUCGUACGGCCUGUCCAUCCGCCCCUCCACAAAGGGAAGGGCUGAGGGAAUGGCCGCAGUAAAAGAAAUAAAAAAGCUAGGCGGAGUGGCGCCAAAAUACAAGAAGAAGUAUUAGAUCAUUUCAAUACCAUCAAAAAGGAAAAAAAACACUACACCUUAUACUCCAGACACCAAUGGCUCCUCUCAAGUGAAUGUACACACAAAGCAAAGCGAAAACGGAACCACGACAACGCAUGUAUAAUAGAGGGAUAACUUUAAAGGAUUACAAUAUGUACCUACGUACUCCCAAUUACGUAAAUACAUCUGCAUGUACAUAUGUACAUACUUAUGCAGAAGUACAUAUGUAUCUAGUUAGGGACGUGUCUUAUAGAGUCUUCUGCUUAAUGGAUUUCAGUUGGAACUGCAGAAAAAUAUCAAUAGAAGACGAAGCCUGUGACUGUAGCCACCCUGUAGAGGCGUCACUUGAUUGUUCUUGUUGCUGUUGCUUGUUCAAGGGGCACACGUCAAUAAUUGCGCUUGAAAAGAAGUUAAGGAAAACACAAUCAAGCAGAAGCAGAAGCAGCAGCAGUAGAGUGGCAAUGGUAGUGGCGGCGGCAGGAGGACCAAGAGGCAAGAGGCAGCCAAGCGGUGGAGGUCCUACCAAGAUCUCUGCAGUCAGUCGGUCCCCUUUCGAACUUUAAUGUGAAAAUCAUGCAAUGAACCAAAUUCAAACGGAAAUGAUUCACACUCCAGCUGAAACACAAUUCAAGUAGGGGAACGGAACCCCAGAACCCCCGACAACCAGAAGCAAAAGUACAAUAUAAAUAUAUGUACAUACUAUGUAUGUUGAUGCAGAAGGCGGAUGGACGGACGGGGGUCUCAAAUCGAAAUUGCGUUUUCAACAACAAUUGUUACAACAACAAUGACGCCAUUUGGAAGAACAAUAACAAUUUCACCCCCAUAAGAUGUCUAAGAGCGAGAGAGAGAGGCACAGAGAGACAGGGACUGAGACUGAGUCCGGGUACCGAUGAAAGCAGAUGAAACACUCGAGGGAGGACCGACCGACCACCGCCACAUGUCGAGGAGCAUGUGCCCCAAGACAAAUGUCAACGCAAAUAUUUCACUUCCUGUUCUUUUUCCCAUUUAUUCGGAGAUUCCCCCGUUCGUUUGUUCGACUUCACUGCAAAGCUUCGACAAAAGGUUCAAAGGUCAAGGAUUUUCACGUUUAAUUAGACAUGGAUACGGUUUUUCAUCAUCAUCACCAGCAGAGAAUCCAGCAUUCAGCAUCCAGCAUCCAGCAUCCGCGAGGGCGUUUGCGUAGGCGGCAACGGCGACGGCGACGACAAAGAAGCGGUAUUUAAAUUUCCAAUUAGCCCAGUGAGAGGGCGUAUGGUGUGUGUCUUCUGUAUGCCACAUUUUCUGCGGUUUCUUUGCCCUUUUCGAGGGGAGACACCCUGCCAGCCAGGAGCCAAAAAAAAUUCUAUAAAAAUAAAACAAUAAUUCAUUAAAGAUUUGUAAAGCCCCCAAAUCUAUAAGAAAAAGUAGCUUUGGUUCAUGGAGUAAAACGGGGUCUAUAUUUCUUCAAAAUGAUGCCACGCGGGCACUUUUGUGGCACUGAAUCGCAUACGCAUCCGCGGGUUCCACAUCUGGGGAAGCCAGAAAGGUAUGAUCCAGCAGCCACUGGAGGGUGGCAUCGGAAAUGGUUCGGGAGAUCUAAUAUCCUUACAGCUACCGUUGUCCGUCCUCUCGUGCCAAAGGCAGGAACACACAGAAGCAGGAGCUUUCGUCUGCCAAGUAUUUUGAAGUGUUUGUCAUUUGAACUUGAAUUAAAUUUCGACUUAUUGUUUUCAUGUGGUGCUGUAACACCUUCGGGGAAUGCUGCCACCGAUGGACUCUGGAUAAUCAAUCUGUAAUCUCAGGUUGACGAAGACUGACUCAAGUGUUGCAGCAUGCGUACAAGCUGGUACACGAUCGUGCGUUACCCAACACUGGUGGCGGAUGGCUCUGGAACUUUCUGGAAGAUAUUGGUAAAAGAAAAAAUCGAUUGAGUGUCCACAUUUGACGACCCUUUGGCCAACCGCUUUGUGUGUUCCUCACCGGCGUUUUUGUGCCGGGCUCAAUAAAAGCGCCCAUUGCCUAUCGUCACGUCAAGUGGAACCCACGAGAUGUCCUCAAUGACACAGCUAAGCAGCUAUUUUGCCAUUUUGCGAAGCUGCUGAAUGUUAAAUAUGUAGUUGCCAGAGGUCCAGACGGAUGAAGUGCGCCUGUCACGCGCAGCCGUUGCUCAGCUCAUGGCGCGGAGCCACCGCUUUUCUACAGAUUUCUGAAGACGCUAUGGAGAAAGGCAUUGCAAUCUCGCAGCUCAUGGCUUAUGAUAUAAAGCUCUUCAUGUAUGAUACCCAGAAGAACAACUUUAUCCAUUGGCACACAUUUGAUCGAUUUGAUCUACCAUUCCUACCAUAUAAAAGACUCAAGGAACAUUGAUCUAUCGGUACGGCGUCCAUCAAUGAUAUACGAGUAUGGCAGCUCCCAGGAGAAACUCAACAAGAUAUUUCCCACUCUAGAAAGGAUCCGAGUCAGUCGCAUAAUGAUGGACUUGUGCGGGGAAAUCCAAAGGAAUGGUAAUCAAAGAUUUUUGCCAGUCUUAUGGCAGCUGGGAAUUGAUUACAUGGACUGUUGCAAGCAUGGAGCUGCUUUGGCAUACCCUUAGCCAGGCAGAGAGGCCUGACUGAUUAAAAGCCAGAAAGCAGGAGACGCUCUCAGGAUGCUGUGAUGGUCACAGGAAUACCUGAAAGUAUACCGAAGGUGGCCAUCGGUCAAACCUCUUUAAACGGCCAUCGAUAUCGAUGUUGUGUAGAAGCAAAGGCUAUAGGCUAUAGGUCAAACGCAUAAAACCCUAAUUUAAUAAAAAAGGCACCGUCAAUGUCUUAAAACAGUCGGUCAAUCUUAACUGAAUACAUCAGAUAAUUGAUGUACAUCUUAAAGAGAUAAGCUAUAUGGUCAUCGGUUUCUGAAGUAUAGUCCAAUUCUUGGAGCACCAUUAGCAAAGAUAUCGUGGAACUGUGACUCUCCGGAACGGAACUGAGCUCGUUGAAAGCCAUUUCGAUUCUAGUUAUUUGUGCCUUUUUUCUUAAAUCAGAUUCCUAAGUGGAUUAUGUAUUGUAUAUACAAGCAACAGUUUUCCCUUUUCGCGGAUAAAUCGCAAGAAGAAGGCCAUGCGCUCCAAGAAGGAGAGACGCUAGGGGAAUAUUGCAUUGGAGAGUCUGCGGAGUAUGCACAGAUCGGUAGGAGAGAGCCACCGAUGGGCUAAUCCCGACGAACAACUUGGCUAAACGCGGUAGGAAAACGCAAGGAAGGCGCAAAAGAGUAAAGUAAAGAUGCAGUUCGAAACAUUAGAGACAAACCAGACCCAAACCCAAACAGAUUUAAAUGCAAGCAUUUACCAUCCAUAGCUUUAUUUAUUGUUAAUCAAACACAUUGUACUUCGUAUGUGGAUUAGAGUUAAUUGGUUCAGCGGGAUGCUGAUGGUCCAUCAUCUAAACUAAGUCAAAUAAGGAACUUGAUAUUCAUGUGUAUGUUGUGGUAAUUUUGUGAAGUUAGCAAUA
Molecule: long non-coding RNA, 4120 nt
Organism: Drosophila miranda
Lineage: Eukaryota; Metazoa; Arthropoda; Insecta; Diptera; Drosophilidae
Exons: 9
Source: RefSeq, a predicted model, not a curated record